AUUGAACGCUGGCGGCAUGCUUUACACAUGCAAGUCGAACGGGGUGAGGGGGCAACCUCUCAUUCAGUGGCGAACGGGUGAGUAAUACAUCGGAACGUACCCCGUAGUGGGGAGUAACUCGGCGAAAGCCGUGCUAAUACCGCAUAUGCUCUACGGAGGAAAGCAGGGGACCGCAAGGCCUUGUGCUAUGGGAGCGGCCCGAUGUCCGAUUAGCUAGUUGGUGAGGUAANGGCUCACCAAGGCGACGAUCGGUAGCUGGUCUGAGAGGAUGAUCAGCCACACUGGGACUGAGACACGGCCCAGACUCCUACGGGAGGCAGCAGUGGGAAUUUUGACAAUGGGGGCAACCCUGAUCCAGCCAUGCCGCGUG
RNAcentral lists this ribosomal RNA (370 nucleotides) under uncultured bacterium. RNAcentral describes it as "bacterial SSU rRNA". It matches the Rfam family "Bacterial small subunit ribosomal RNA", at positions 30 to 403 of the family's 1533-position model. The record is from RNAcentral.